GAAGUUUUCAGAGAUGAGAAUGUGCCUUCGGGAACCGUGAGACAGGUGCUGCAUGGCUGUCGUCAGCUCGUGUUGUGAAAUGUUGGGUUAAGUCCCGCAACGAGCGCAACCCUUAUCCUUUGUUGCCAGCGGUCCGGCCGGGAACUCAAAGGAGACUGCCAGUGAUAAACUGGAGGAAGGUGGGGAUGACGUCAAGUCAUCAUGGCCCUUACGACCAGGGCUACACACGUGCUACAAUGGCGCAUACAAAGAGAAGCGACCUCGCGAGAGCAAGCGGACCUCAUAAAGUGCGUCGUAGUCCGGAUUGGAGUCUGCAACUCGACUCCAUGAAGUCGGAAUCGCUAGUAAUCGUGGAUCAGAAUGCCACGGUGAAUACGUUCCCGGGCCUUGUACACACCGCCCGUCACACCAUGGGAGUGGGUUGCAAAAGAAGUAGGUAGCUUAACCUUCGGGAGGGCGCUUACCACUUUGUGAUUCAUGACUGGGGUGAAGUCGUAACAAGGUAACCGUAGGGGAACCUGC
This 522-nucleotide ribosomal RNA is filed under the name Escherichia coli. RNAcentral's name for it is "bacterial SSU rRNA". It matches the Rfam family "Bacterial small subunit ribosomal RNA", at positions 993 to 1515 of the family's 1533-position model. Lineage: Bacteria; Pseudomonadati; Pseudomonadota; Gammaproteobacteria; Enterobacterales; Enterobacteriaceae. RNAcentral also lists the same sequence under 18 other names. The record is from RNAcentral.